UGCGGGGUAGUGUACGGAUGCACGCGAGGCUCAUAAUCUCGCAGACCGGGUUCAACUCCCGGCUCCGCAA
RNAcentral lists this transfer RNA (70 nucleotides) under Patescibacteria group bacterium. Its description in RNAcentral is "tRNA-Met". It matches the Rfam family "tRNA". Rfam says of the family: Transfer RNA (tRNA) molecules are approximately 80 nucleotides in length. The record is from RNAcentral.